This 468-nucleotide ribosomal RNA is filed under the name uncultured bacterium. RNAcentral's name for it is "partial 16S ribosomal RNA". It matches the Rfam family "Bacterial small subunit ribosomal RNA", at positions 28 to 507 of the family's 1533-position model. The record is from RNAcentral.
GACGAACGCUGGCGGCGUGCUUAACACAUGCAAGUCGAACGGAAAGGCCCUGCUUUUGUGGGGUGCUCGAGUGGCGAACGGGUGAGUAACACGUGAGUAACCUGCCCUUGACUUUGGGAUAACUUCAGGAAACUGGGGCUAAUACCGGAUAGGAGCUCCUGCUGCAUGGUGGGGGUUGGAAAGUUUCGGCGGUUGGGGAUGGACUCGCGGCUUAUCAGCUUGUUGGUGGGGUAGUGGCUUACCAAGGCUUUGACGGGUAGCCGGCCUGAGAGGGUGACCGGCCACAUUGGGACUGAGAUACGGCCCAGACUCCUACGGGAGGCAGCAGUGGGGAAUAUUGCACAAUGGGCGGAAGCCUGAUGCAGCAACGCCGCGUGCGGGAUGACGGCCUUCGGGUUGUAAACCGCUUGCGCAUGUGACGAAGCGUGAGUGACGGUAAUGGGUAAAGAAGCACCGGCUAACUACGUG